AAGCAGGGGAUCGCAAGACCUUGCGCUUUUAGAGCGGCCGAUGUCUGAUUAGCUAGUUGGUGAGGUAAAGGCUUACCAAGGCUUCGAUCAGUAGCUGGUCUGAGAGGACGACCAGCCACACUGGGACUGAGACACGGCCCAGACUCCUACGGGAGGCAGCAGUGGGGAAUUUUGGACAAUGGGGGAAACCCUGAUCCAGCCAUGCCGCGUGAGUGAAGAAGGCCUUCGGGUUGUAAAGCUCUUUCAGCCGGAACGAAACGGUCACGGCUAAUACCUGUGAUCACU
This 285-nucleotide ribosomal RNA is filed under the name uncultured bacterium. RNAcentral's name for it is "partial 16S ribosomal RNA". It matches the Rfam family "Bacterial small subunit ribosomal RNA", at positions 202 to 477 of the family's 1533-position model. The record is from RNAcentral.